Molecule: long non-coding RNA, 2109 nt
Organism: Ictalurus punctatus (channel catfish)
Lineage: Eukaryota; Metazoa; Chordata; Actinopteri; Siluriformes; Ictaluridae
Source: Ensembl
AUAAAUAAAACCUCUUACCAUCAAAGUCUGCUUAUAAUGCGAUCACGUGGAGAAUCAGAAAUGAGAAAAUGGCGACAUAAAAUCCGUUAAAGUGUUAAAUCUAUAGAGGAGAGUGUGAGACUUUACACACGAUUCAAUGCUGUUUCAGCCGAUUUAUGCGUGUAGUCUUGGCCAAGGUGUGUGUGCGCGUGCGUGCGUGUUCAAUCCUGCUAUAGCUAAGCUGUAGGUUUUUAAAAACAUUUUAUUUCAUUUUAAAGAAAAGGAAUUUUUAUGAUUACAGCAGCUUCACUGCUACCAACUGGACUUUACAUCUGAUUACAGCUUCAAAUCCUCGGCUUCCUCCAACCUCAGCGUGCGAGGUUCUCUUUACCCUUUGACUUUAUUCAGCGCAGAUGUUUCAGGUUUUAUUUUAAUUUCCUUGGUUUACCCUCUUACUGUGGGGUGUGACUGAGUGAGUGUGGGAGCAGUUCGGCUCUGAGUCGCGCCUGUAUGACGCUUUUAUAACAUUACAGAAGGUGUGUUGAUGUACGUGUGUGUGUAUCGGAUCAUCUGCCCCAUGCUGGUGAUGUUUUACUGGAUAUUAAAUCAGUUUUUAAUGUCAGUCCAGAGAGGAGGGGUUUUUUUUUCCCCCUUCUCUUUUCCAAACAAUAACCGUAAACAUUAAAAUACGUGCUUUAAAUUUAUCGAUAAAUGAACACUUGCAGGUUAUAAACCUGAAUUCCUACAAAUGAAUACAUCACUCGGCUAAUGCAAUACAACUGAUGUUCUCGAACGCAAGUAGACUCGAGUUCAAUUCAAAUUCAAAACCAGUAAGUCCUGUAUCGGUAAAUAAAUUAAAACAAAUGAGAGAAACCACAGGUGUAUUGUCACCCCCCCCCCCAACGUUAAAAGUUCUUAUAACUUUAAUAUAUUAUAUAACAGUGUCAUGUUAUUUAACAGGUUGAAACAAUAACCCAGAACCACCCAAUUUCUCCCAGUAUGGUAUUGAUGAUGAUGAUUAUUAUAUUAUUAUUAUUAUUAAUAGAAUGACUCCAUAAACUGUACGUAACGUUAAGCUUGUUCCAUUCGGAGUAUUAUAAAAGUCUAUAAUCGGGAGAAUAGCUUAACGUGAAGAUGUGUGCUUUCAUAUUUAGUUUCUGGCUCAUUCUUUCUGAAAGUAGACGGCAGCUGUUACCAAUAAAGUGUAAGGAAUGUGGCUGGGUUCAUACGUUAAGCCGAUCCCGUGUUAUCGGAUCCCGUAGAGCCGGAAACCUGAAAGUUUGUUGUUUAUGUUCGUGACUAGACGAGUGUGAUUUUGUCACUUUUUAAAAUUUUUUUAUUUUUAUAAAGUCCCUCUUUUUUCCCCCGGAGACUCUGCGCUGUUCGUUAUAUAAUUGCACGGCCUCUCUGGACCUCUGCAUGUACAAUUCUUUCCUUCUGAGGAUCGCUGGUCGUGAUGGUGUGCAUGCUCGGGUGUGUGUGUGUGUGUGUGUGUGUGUGUGUGUGUGUGUGUGUGUGUACGACCCUGACAGCAGCUGAUGUUGAAUAUUUUUACGUCUGUAUUAGACAUUUCCUUUGCAAAUCUAUUGUUCGAUUUAACUGUAUAUGAAAUAAAAGAUGGUACACAUCCGUCAGUUUAUACAGACACCGCCAUCGUAUAGAUGGAAUUUUACUGCAGUUUUAUGAUCAGCUAUAUUUAAAUACAUAGAUAUUUAUCAGAGAUUCUAAAAAAAAAAAAAAAAAAAAAAGUAAGUGAAUUCUUUUCGUAGAAAUAUGAACUGUAUUUUAAUGCACUGAACAGAUUUGCUGUUUCGUAUCUUUGCUGUUUGCUGUUUCGUACCUUUUUGCGAAGCACUUCUGAGCCGCUGUAAAGCCCACGCUGAUGAUGGGAAAUUAAUGUAAAGGCUAUUAAAGGUCAUGUUCUGUAACUGCAUGAUGAGGUAAUAAAACGGAUUUGUCCUCGAACAUGUCGUCGUUGCUUAUGUUUUAAGAUCACAUUGGGAAUUUCUUGCAUUUUUAUUGUGAGUCACAUCAUUGGGCUUAGCUCAUCAAGAUGGGUCGAAACUUUUCGACUCUCAAGUGAUUCGUUGACGUUUUUGUGGUACUUUGACCUGUGAUUGUCCAUCUUAU